This is a transfer RNA of Lysobacter dokdonensis DS-58, 74 nucleotides long. It matches the Rfam family "tRNA". From Rfam's summary of the family: Transfer RNA (tRNA) molecules are approximately 80 nucleotides in length. Their secondary structure includes four short double-helical elements and three loops (D, anti-codon, and T loops). NCBI's taxonomy places the organism in Bacteria, Pseudomonadati, Pseudomonadota, Gammaproteobacteria, Lysobacterales, Lysobacteraceae. The record is from Rfam.
CGGGGUAUAGCGCAGCCUGGUAGCGCACCAGUCUGGGGGACUGGUGGUCGUCGGUUCGAAUCCGGCUACCCCGA